AAAAUGGUGGUGAGCGCGGACAUUUUCGUAGAUCUUCUCGCCGUCUUAGAAAGCUGCUCCGGUAUUUUGAACUGCAAUGUUAUUACCGGGACGUGACUGGCGGUGGGAGAAGACUGUUUUGAGGGGCGGGUGUUUGUUAUUGCAGGUUUCCAGUGCACGGGAUGGAGGCUUUGUUACAAGGCAUGCAAAAGAAGAAGAUGGGAACUCUAUUUGGUUCCUGUGAAGCUGAGUUGAAAGAGCUCAUGAGGCAGAUUGAUAUAAUGUUGGAGCACAAGAAGUCUGAGUGGGAAGCCCAUACAGAGACCCUCAACACUCUGCUGCAGCUUCGAGAUCAGGAGCUCAGCUCUGCCAGAGUACAAGAAGAUCGACUGAGUCAAGAGAUUAGGUCUCUGAGAAAGCAGUUGACAGAGCAAGAAGAAAAUAAUCUCAUUAAGACGACGGAGUAUGAGUCCCAGCUGGCACGCUUUCAGGAGGAGUUAAACAGAUUAAAAAAGACAUAUGAAAAAGUACAGAGAAGACACCAGAGGAUGGAGCUAAAAAGCAGUGGUGAAGGAGACAGGUCCGAAGUCAGUCGGCUGGCGCGCAGACUGGAGGAAUUUCGCCAAAGGUCCCUAGAUUGGGAGAAGCAGCGUCUUCUGUAUCAGCAGCAGGUAGCUGCAUUGGAGGCUCAGCGUAGGACCUUGGCUGAGCAAACAGAAAAAUAUCAGGAAGAGUCUCAGAGCCGGAAACAUAUGUUAGAACAAACUAGUUUGGCUGGCCGUUCAGAGCUCCAGCACCUCGGUGGUCAGCUGCUACGUGCUAAUGACAGUCUGUGCGCCAAAGAAGAAAAGCUCGAAAGUCUGAAGUUACAGCUGGAGUCUUCUACAUCCAGGCGAGAGAGAGCAGAGCGUGAACUUGAGCAAGCUCAGCAGACAAUAAAGGUUCUCCAGGAAGAAAAGGCAGAGCUGAGGGCGACCAUACUAUCUCACUCACACUUUCUGGAAGGAUCGAAAGCUCAGAAAGAGGAGCUUCACAGAGAGGUGCAGAGAGUGAGUGAUACGCUAAGGGACAAAGAGAACAUCAUCAGAUCACUAGAAGAAAGACUUAAACAGACCAGACUGUCAGGUGGGCACAGUGAGAUGGAGGUGCUGCGCUCUCAGCUGUCCAUCAGCCGCUUGAAUGAACAGAGGCUGCAAGAAGAAGUGACCUGUUGGGAGGACCAGGUCAGGUCCGUGACCCAACAGAGUCAGCAAAUCGCCCAAGAAAUAAAGGUCAUGGCUGAGUCACGGCUCCUGUUAGAAGAGGAGAACAAGAAAAACUGGACUGAGAUUAAAAAACUAAAGAGCCAUCUAACCCAGGCUGAACUUUCCUAUAGCAGUGUUCUGGAUGGGAUGAAGAAGGAGAUCUCUCAAUUGACACAGGAACUGCACCAGAAAGACAUUGGCAUUGCUUCCUACAGCUGUAAUGCCAAAGACUGGGAGCGGAAGCUUCAGACUGAGAGAGAGAGAGCGGAUAGAGAAGCAUCUGAGCAUAAAGUUUCACUAGCAGCCCUAGAAACAUUACGAGAAGAAAACCGGCAACUGACUAAGAUGUUGGAGAAACAAGAACCAGAUGUGCGGCUGGCUUUAGACAACCUGGAAUGUGAAAAUCAUAGACUACAGAAAGAAUUGUCACAGGCGAGGAGAAAUCUGGAGCUUGUCCUGCACACCAGACAGUCGGAUAUCCAUAGCGCAGUGGAACGGAGAACACAAGAACUGUUAAGCAGACAUGAGGAGGAGUUGAAGGCACUCAAUGAGCGUCUGAAUGAAAUGUCCCAACGAUAUGAGGAGCUUAGGCAAACACCACCCUCAGCACAGGAAGCUGCCUCUGCUCUGCAAGGUUUAGUAAGGACAAGUUCUCUGGAUUCAGUGUCUUCUGAAGUGGACAAGAGUGAUGAUGGACAUGCUGAAGAUUCCCACCAAGAGCCACAGCUCCCUUUGCCUCCCUCCACCUCACCUAACACCAUAGCGUCACGAUUCCUUCAGGAGGAAGAGCUUCGGUCGCAGGAUCUUAUUCAACGCCUGGACUCUCACAUCGAGGAGCUGAAACAAGACAGUCAGCGGACAGUACAGCACUUCACCAGCUUGAAAUAACAUGACGUCAUAAAGCAGUGGUCCUUAGUCUGUGACAGCUUCCUGAGGGUUGCAGAACUACUAAAUCCAACAUGCUCCCGGCUGUAGUUUUGCAAGAGCCACCAGCUGGAAUAGAGUAAUUUCAGUCAAACGUCAGACCUAAUAAAAUUACAAAGGAAAAAGGAUAUCCUGUUCUCCUUACCUGCGCAGCAUAUGUAUCCAGUUUCUCAAAGUUCUUCAAGUUGACGGGCAUUGACUUAAGGCAAGAUGUAUCCCAGGGGGUCCAUCUUACCAUAAAAGUCUUUGGCGCUAGGCUGCGAAAUUUGCUCCCAUCUGCUGCCAUUCCAGAUGUCUGGUAUCAAUUUUAGCCAAGUGGGGAGAUGUGUGACCACAAAUGCUGCUGAAUCGCUUGGCUGCGGAGAGCCAGGUCACCAGAAGGAGGAGUAAAUAGUAAUAAAGGAGCGGAUGGGACGGCUGGUAAAUAGCGACGCAAUAGUCACCACAAGAGCAAUCAAUGAUACCUUGUUUGGUGACCCAAUGAUUCUGGAGUUGCUGUUGGUUCCCCCACAAAUAACGGGUUUACUCUGAGCCCAUGUAAAGGGACAACCUGUGUUUAUCUUUUUGCAGACCCUUUUAACACAAAUGCAUUGUAAAAAGAGGACAACUUUAAAGGUGAAGUAUACAAAUUGCAACAAACACCAGUCUCAAAUCUGAAAUUCCUUAAAAACUCUACAGAUCAACUAAUCCAUUAAUAUACUUUAUGCAAUUCAAUAGUAUAAGAUUAUUGCUGACAGAAAGGGAUAUAUACAUAUGCAUUGUCCAUAUAGAUAUGGUAGGUACAGGAAAAUGAAUGUAAAAAUAUGAGUGGUUCUAGUGAUCAGCACUAGAUUUACAUAAACAAAGUGUAAUCACUGUAUAAAUGAAAAGUUUGACACUUGUGAAUAUGCUUUGUGUUUCAGUUCCUUACCAUUUUUAACGGGACAUUCAGUUAACCUUUUGAAAUAAAUAUCAUCUUUAGAAGCAGAGG
RNA transcript from Hyla sarda, 3117 nucleotides. It is a transcript of the gene named centrosomal protein 63, with no coding region annotated. The transcript is spliced from 17 exons. The record is from RefSeq and is a predicted model, not a curated record. Lineage: Eukaryota; Metazoa; Chordata; Amphibia; Anura; Hylidae.